RNAcentral lists this ribosomal RNA (254 nucleotides) under uncultured bacterium. RNAcentral's name for it is "partial 16S ribosomal RNA". It matches the Rfam family "Bacterial small subunit ribosomal RNA", at positions 524 to 776 of the family's 1533-position model. The record is from RNAcentral.
UACGUAGGGUGCGAGCGUUAAUCGGAAUUACUGGGCGUAAAGCGUGCGUAGGCGGUUCGUUAAGUCAGCUGUGAAAGCCCCGGGCUCAACCUGGGAAUUGCGGUUGAAACUGGCGAACUAGAAUCUGGCAGAGGGGGGUGGAAUUCCACGUGUAGCAGGUGAAAUGCGUAGAGAUGUGGAGGAACACCGAUGGCGAAGGCAGCCCCCUGGGCUGAGAUUGACGCUCAGGCACGAAAGCGUGGGGAGCAAACAGG